RNAcentral lists this ribosomal RNA (279 nucleotides) under uncultured bacterium. Its description in RNAcentral is "partial 16S ribosomal RNA". It matches the Rfam family "Bacterial small subunit ribosomal RNA", at positions 506 to 784 of the family's 1533-position model. The record is from RNAcentral.
UGCCAGCAGCCGCGGUAAGACAGAGGGUGCAAACGUUGUUCGGAAUUACUGGGCAUAAAGCGCACGUAGGCGGCCGUAUAAGUCAGAUGUGAAAGCCCCCGGCUCAACCGGGGAACUGCAUUUGAUACUGUAUAGCUAGAGGACGGUAGGGGUGAGUGGAACUCCAGGUGGAGCGGUGAAAUGCGUAGAUAUCUGGAGGAACACCGGUGGCGAAAGCGGCUCACUGGACCGUAUCAGACGCUGAGGUGCGAAAGCUAGGGUAGCAAACGGGAUUAGAUA